Molecule: ribosomal RNA, 472 nt
Filed under: uncultured bacterium
Lineage: Bacteria
Description: bacterial SSU rRNA
Rfam family: Bacterial small subunit ribosomal RNA
Source: RNAcentral
ACGAACGCUGGCGGCGUGCUUAACACAUGCAAGUCGAGCGAUGAAGUCCUUCGGGGACGGAUUAGCGGCGGACGGGUGAGUAACACGUGGGUAACCUGCCUCAUAGAGGGGAAUAGCCUUCCGAAAGGAAGAUUAAUACCGCAUAAGAUUGUAGUUUCGCAUGAAACAGCAAUUAAAGGAGUAAUUCGCUAUGAGAUGGACCCGCGUCGCAUUAGCUAGUUGGUGAGGUAACGGCUCACCAAGGCGACGAUGCGUAGCCGACCUGAGAGGGUGAUCGGCCACAUUGGGACUGAGACACGGCCCAGACUCCUACGGGAGGCAGCAGUGGGGAAUAUUGCACAAUGGGGGGAACCCUGAUGCAGCAACGCCCGCGUGAGUGAUGACGGUCUUCGGAUUGUAAAGCUCUGUCUUCAGGGACGAUAAUGACGGUACCUGAGGAGGAAGCCACGGCUAACUACGUGCCAGCAGCAGC